RNAcentral lists this ribosomal RNA (810 nucleotides) under uncultured archaeon. Its description in RNAcentral is "bacterial SSU rRNA". It matches the Rfam family "Archaeal small subunit ribosomal RNA", at positions 85 to 879 of the family's 1478-position model. The record is from RNAcentral.
ACUGCUCAGUAACACGUGGCUAACCUGCCCUCGGGACGGGAAUACCCCCGGGAAACUGGGGCUAAUUCCCGAUAGGUGAAGAACUCCGGAAUGAGUCUCCGCCCAAAAGACGCUUAAAUCAUGCUUUUAGGCGCCGCCCAAGGAUGGGGCCGCGACCGAUCAGGUAGUUGGUGAGGCAACGGCUCACCAAGCCUUUAACCGGUGCGGGCCGUGGGAGCGGGAGCCCGGAGAUGGGCACUGAGACAAGGGCCCAGGCCCUACGGGGCGCAGCAGUCGCGAAAACUUUGCAAUACACGAAAGUGUGACAGGGCUAUCCCGAGUGCCAUCCGCUGAGGAAGGCUUUUACCCAGUCUAGAAAGCUGGGAGAAUAAGGAGAGGGCAAGUCUGGUGUCAGCCGCCGCGGUAAUACCAGCUCUCCGAGUGGUGUGGAUGUUUAUUGGGCCUAAAGCAUCCGUAGCUGGCCAAGUUAGUCCCCUGUUAAAUCCACCGAAUUAAUCGUUGGUGUGCGGGGGAUACUGCUCGGCUAGGGGACGAGAGAGGCCGACGGUAUUUUCGGGGUAGGGGUGAAAUCCUAUAAUCCCGAGAGGACCACCAGUGGCGAAGGCUGUCGGCUAGAACGCGCCCGACGGUGAGGGAUGAAAGCUGGGGUAGCGAACCGGAUUAGAUACCCGGGUAGUCCCAGCUGUAAACGAUGCAGCUAGGUGUUUGGGCGGCCACGUGCCGCUCUAGUGCCGCAGGAAAGCUGUUAAGCCUGCCGCCUGGGGAGUACGGUCGCAAGGCUGAAACUUAAAGGAAUUGGCGGGGGAGCAC